This 496-nucleotide ribosomal RNA is filed under the name Coronalpheus natator. RNAcentral's name for it is "partial 16S ribosomal RNA". It matches the Rfam family "Bacterial large subunit ribosomal RNA", at positions 1860 to 2617 of the family's 2925-position model. The record is from RNAcentral. Lineage: Eukaryota; Metazoa; Arthropoda; Malacostraca; Decapoda; Alpheidae.
UGCCCACUGAGAUUUUGAAGGGCCGCGGUAUCUUGACCGUGCAAAGGUAGCAUAAUCAGUAGUCUUUUAAUUGGAGGCUUGAAUGAAUGGUCGGACGAGGGGAUAGCUGUCUCGRUGRUUGAGAUUGAAUUUAACUUUUGUGUGAGAAGGCAUUAAUAGAUUAGGGGGACGAUAAGACCCUAUAAAACUUGAUUAAAUCUGUUUUAGUUAAUGGUUUAGGGUUAGAUUUAAUUAGAUGCAGAUUUUAUUAUGUUGGGGCGACAGAAAUAUAAGGUUUAACUGUUUUUUGAAUGUAAUAUAUAUAAUUAGAUUGUGRUCCUUUAAUGGGGGUUAGAAGAAUAAGUUACUUUAGGGAUAACAGCGUAAUUGUCUUUGAGAGUCCAGAUCGACAGGAUUAGUUGCGACCUCGAUGUUGAAUUAAGAUUUUUUUCAGGUGAAGCAGUCUGGGRAAUAGGUCUGUUCGACCUUAAAAUCCUACAUGAUUUGAGUUCAAACC